CUCAGGGCUGGGGCACUAGGUUUACCCAGAGGGAUGGGAUGGGGAGGGAGGUGGGAGGGGGGUUCAGGACGGGGAGCACAUGUAAACCCAUGACUGAUUAAUGUCAAUGGGAAAAAUCACUACAAUAUUGUAAAGUAAUUAGCCUCCAAUUAAAAUAAAUAAAUAAAAUAAAAUAAAAUACACUAGG
Cervus elaphus (red deer) is the source of this 187-nucleotide long non-coding RNA. RefSeq lists it as uncharacterized. Lineage: Eukaryota; Metazoa; Chordata; Mammalia; Artiodactyla; Cervidae. The transcript has 2 exons. The record is from RefSeq and is a predicted model, not a curated record.